CCCUUAGAUGUUCUGGGCCGCACGCGCGCUACACUGACGAAUGCAACGAGCUUAUAACCUUGGCCGAAAGGUCUGGGUAAUCUCCAAAUUUCGUCGUGAUGGGGAUAGAUUAUUGCAAUUAUUAAUCUUCAACGAGGAAUGCCUAGUAAACGCAAGUCAUCAACUUGCAUUGAUUACGUCCCUGCCCUUUGUACACACCGCCCGUCGCUCCUACCGAUUGAAUGGUCCGGUGAAGCGUUCGGACCGUGGCCUUUGGACGGUUCGCCGUCUGUUGGCUGCGGGAAGUUCGUUAAACCUUAUCAUUUAGAGGAAGGAGAAGUCGUAACA
RNAcentral lists this ribosomal RNA (327 nucleotides) under uncultured eukaryote. RNAcentral's name for it is "partial 18S ribosomal RNA". It matches the Rfam family "Eukaryotic small subunit ribosomal RNA", at positions 1470 to 1796 of the family's 1831-position model. The record is from RNAcentral.